UAUUACACUUUGUUGCUUUGGCAAGCCUGCCCUCGGGCUGCUGGCUCCGGCCGGCGAGCGCUUGCCAGAGGACCUAAACUCUGUUUGUUUAUACUGUCUGAGUACUAUAUAAUAGUUAAAACUUUCAACAACGGAUCUCUUGGUUCUGGCAUCGAUGAAGAACGCAGCGAAAUGCGAUAAGUAAUGUGAAUUGCAGAAUUCAGUGAAUCAUCGAAUCUUUGAACGCACAUUGCGCCCCCUGGUAUUCCGGGGGGCAUGCCUGUCCGAGCGUCAUUACAACCCUCAAGCUCAGCUUGGUGUUGGGCCCCGCCGCCCCGGCGGGCCCUAAAGUCAGUGGCGGUGCCGUCCGGCUCCGAGCGUAGUAAUUCUUCUCGCUCUGGAGGUCCGGUCGUGUGCUCGCCAGCAACCCCCAAUUUUUUUCAGGUUGACCUCGGAUCAGGUAGGGAUACCCGCUGAACUUAAGCAUAU
This 468-nucleotide ribosomal RNA is filed under the name Pseudogymnoascus pannorum. RNAcentral describes it as "partial 18S ribosomal RNA". The stretch from base 120 to 273 matches the Rfam family "5.8S ribosomal RNA". The record is from RNAcentral. Lineage: Eukaryota; Fungi; Ascomycota; Leotiomycetes; Thelebolales; Thelebolaceae.